Molecule: ribosomal RNA, 252 nt
Filed under: uncultured bacterium
Lineage: Bacteria
Description: partial 16S ribosomal RNA
Rfam family: Bacterial small subunit ribosomal RNA
Source: RNAcentral
GACAUAGGUGGCAAACGUUAUCCGGUUUUAUUGGGCGUAAAGGAUGCGUAGAUGGCGGAAUAAGUUAUUAGUAGAAGUCAAGCUCAACUUGGCAGAAACUGGUAAUACUAUUCUACUUGAGGACAGGAGAGGUUAGCGGAAUUUUAUGUGUAGGGGUGAAAUCCGUUGAUCUAUAGAGGACCACCAAAAGGCGAAGGCAGCUAACUAUUCUGUUCCUGACAUUGAGGCAUGAAAGCGUGGGUAGCAAACCGG